This 107-nucleotide small nuclear RNA is filed under the name Procavia capensis (Cape rock hyrax). The record is from RNAcentral. Lineage: Eukaryota; Metazoa; Chordata; Mammalia; Hyracoidea; Procaviidae.
GUGCACCCUUCAGUAUCAUAGGCAGUAGAAUUGGAAUGAUACAAAGAAGAUUAACAUGGCUGCUAUGCAAGGAUGAGACAUAAAUUUGUGAAGCAUGUCAUAUUUCU